AGUGAACGCUGGCGGUAGGCCUAACACAUGCAAGUCGAACGGCAGCACAGUAAGAGCUUGCUCUUACGGGUGGCGAGUGGCGGACGGGUGAGGAAUACAUCGGAAUCUACUUUUUCGUGGGGGAUAACGUAGGGAAACUUACGCUAAUACCGCAUACGACCUACGGGUGAAAGCAGGGGAUCUUCGGACCUUGCGCGAUUGAAUGAGCCGAUGUCGGAUUAGCUAGUUGGCGGGGUAAAGGCCCACCAAGGCGACGAUCCGUAGCUGGUCUGAGAGGAUGAGCAGCCACACUGGAACUGAGACACGGUCCAGACUACUACGGGAGGCAGCAGUGGGGAAUAUUGGACAAAGGGCGCAAGCCUGAUCCAGCCAUGCCGCGUGGGUGAAGAAGGCCUUCGGGUUGUAAAGCCCUUUUGUUUGGAAAGAAAAGCAGCAGGUUAAUACCCCGCUGUUCUGACGGUACCCAAAGAAUAAGCACCGGCUAACUUCGUG
Molecule: ribosomal RNA, 492 nt
Filed under: uncultured bacterium
Lineage: Bacteria
Description: partial 16S ribosomal RNA
Rfam family: Bacterial small subunit ribosomal RNA
Source: RNAcentral